Long non-coding RNA from Myiozetetes cayanensis, 3796 nucleotides. RefSeq lists it as uncharacterized. The transcript has 4 exons. The record is from RefSeq and is a predicted model, not a curated record. NCBI's taxonomy places the organism in Eukaryota, Metazoa, Chordata, Aves, Passeriformes, Tyrannidae.
GCCCCGGCUGGAGGCUCCGGGCUCAGCGUGGGAGCGGGUCCUGCUCAGGGGUGGGGCUGGGGGGUCCCCGCGAGGGAGCCCAGCAGAUGUCACUGCAGCCCAGCAAGGGCUUUGCUUGCACCCCACGUGUUGCUGUUUGAGGGGAUGCUCCUGCCCUGCGACCCUGGGAGGACCUGGGAGAAGGUCCAGGAGGACCUGGGAAAGGGGGUGACAUCCCCUGCCUGUGCUGUGACACUCUUGCUUUGUGACCUGGAGGGCCUGUUCUCCUGGCAGGGGUUCCAGGGGAUGGAGGGGGUGGUGCCUUGCUCUCUGCAGGCCAGGUAACAGACACCAAGCAGAAAUGUGUUGUGUCCCUUCCCUGGGGGACCAGGCAAAUGGGCUCCUUCCUCCUCCUCUUCCUCCCCAGCAUGAGGGCUGGUGUCCUCUGAACCCUUUGCUGCCCUUUGAGGGAGAAGUGCUGACUCCAGAUGUUUCCCUAAAUGAGAAACUUCUGCAAACAACCCUGGAUUAGAUUUGAUUUUUUUUUUUUUUGGAAGAAAUUCUUGGCUGUGAGAGUGGAGAGCCACUGGCACAGGUUGCCCAGAGAAGCUGUGGCUGCCCCAUCCCUGGAAGUGUCCAAGGCCAGGUUGGGUGGGGCUUGGAGCAACCUGGGCUAAUGGAAGGUGUCCCUGCCCACGGCAAGGGUUGGAAUGAGGUGAUCUUUGGGAUUCCUUCCAACCCAAACCACUCUGUGAUUCUAUGAUUUUUGCUUUCUUGGCCCAUUGGUCAUCAGUGAUCUUCAGCCUGCAGUGGGGCUGGAAGGAUGGGGGAGACCCAGCUGCCAGCACUUGCUGCUCCCUCUGCUCUCCUGCCCUUGCCAAACCUGUGGCUGGAGCUGCUGCCUGCAUCCCUGUCCUGGACCAUGACAUCACCCUUCCCUUGGCCCUUGGGGUGUGCAAAAGCCCUUUGUUGGGCCAGUGUGCCAAACAGGAGCAGAGCAGCCCCCAGCCCCUCCUCAUCCUUCACAUCCUGCAGAAGCUGAAUGGGGCAGGGUGGAGAAAAGGAGGAGGACCCUCAAAGGUGGAAAGAAAUCCCUCCAGCACCUCUUAAAGGUGGGAGAAGAGAGGGAACAAGAUGGGAGGAGAGGCUGUGAGCAGGAGAGAGCUGGUGCUUGCAGCACAGGGGGGGCUGUGUUUGUGUGUGUGUGUGCACUGACUUUCCAUCAGGCUGAUGAAAGGACUGGGAGCUCUUGAAGCUGGAGCCAAGGUGAGCAACCUGUGGCUGUCCCAGGGGUGCUGGGGAGGGGAAGGCCUGAGUUUACUCAGGAACAGCAGGGAUGCUCUGCCAGGAGCUGGGAUGUUCAGUAAUAUCUUGCCAAGGAGGGAUCAGGAUUCAGCAUCCCAGCCUGUGCUGUAGGGAGGAAUGCUGGCCAGGCAGCUCCACUGUCAGCCCCCAGAUCAGUGCUCCAGGGGGAUGCACUGGCUGGGGGUGCAGGAUGGAGGGGGUUUGCCUCCUCAGCAGGUCCCUGGGGCUGGUCCCUGCCGUGGUGGGGCUUUGGUGGAAGGGACAGCCCAGACUCCAUCUGGGAAGCAGUGGCUUUGUGCUGCUCUGGGUGAGGGGUCUCUGGUCCCUCCUGCCCCAGCAGCGAGAGGGUUUUUCCUCCUCCUGUGUGGAAAAGAAGCUCCCACUGCCAUCACACAGCUCUUCCUGCCCUGCCUAGGGUCUUGCUUGCACCCCACCUCCAAAUUUCCAAGGGCUUCCUGGGCUCUCUUGUCACCCCCACAUUGCAUUUGGGAUUUGUAUUUAAUUCUUAUUUCUCUCUCCAUAGGUUUGUCCCUGUCACUGCUGCUGUUCCCAGCUUUCCAGCAGGUUUGCUCUGCAGAGAGCUGCAGGUUGGCUAUGAAAUAUGACAAAGCAUUCAUUUAAAUGCACACCAUGAUGUCGGCGAGUCCAUUAGGGGAAUUAAUUUGAAUGGCUGGCAUUUAAUAAACAGCCUCGUCCCUCCUCUCCACACACAGCCCCCACCACCACCCCCCCCCACCACCACUGCUGGCAUCUUGGAAGGGUUAAAAAGAAACCACAUGUGGAUAUUGGAAGGAGUGGGGAGCAGGUAUCUGGGUCUGGGGAGUGGUGGUGGUGGUGGUGGGGAAAUAAUAAAAGAGAUCUGGUGUUAUGAGAAGAAUUGCAGUUUGUUUUGUUCACAAUACAAAAAAAAAAAAAAAAGGCACAUGUGGAAGGGGUUUGGGUUCACGGGGUGUUUGGUGCACGGAGAAAACAAGGGGGUGAAGGAGGAGGACACGCUCCGGCCGGAGGGUCCCAGCCUGGCUCCGAGCACGCCGGGCUGGGGGGAGGCGAGGGGGCUCCAGGGACGUGGCUCCCCAUAUGGUGUGUAUUACAAGCUCCUUUCUAGUUGUAAAGAUUAAUUUAAAGCCUUUCUCACCUCCCCCCCAUCCCUCUUCCAUUGACAAAUGAACAUCUGGGCUGAAUGCUGCCCAGAUCCUAAUCAAAGCAUUUUUUCCAGGGCCGUUGUCUGCCUUUAUGGCUAUCUGCUCUUCGGGUGCUCUGCAGUUCCAAUGCACUUGGCAAUUCAGCCUGUAAAUACCCCUCUCCGGGAUUUAUGAUUCGGGAUAAUGUGAUUUUUCUCUUUGCCUCUGGAUUCGUUUGUUUGGUUUAGUUUAACGACAUUUCCUUGUCUCUGCAUAAGUGAGGGCAUGCAGGGAGGUUUUUUUUUUUCCCCUCCCCUCUUUGCAGGGAUUUAUUAGCAAUGAGCAAAAAUGGCUUUUUUUGUGGGGGCUGGGGUGGACACACUGGGGGGGGCCAAAGCCAGCCUUGAAUCCCCAGUGAGCAAGCCCAGUCAUCCCAAAACCAUCUAUUUUUUCCUACAGAAAGCUUGUUUUUGAGGUUUUACCGAGAAAGCAGCUUUCCACCAAAGCAAAGCCAAGCCCUUUCCACGAUGUUUGAGGGCUGCUUCAUCAGGGAGAGGCAGUAGGAGGCACAGUCCAGUAUGGAAAAGCCGUUUGCUCCCCAAAAUGAGGCUGGAGAAGCCAAAUGAGAUGCUUGAAAAACUGGGAGGUUUGUGACUGGAAUCCCAUUCCCAUCAGACUUGAUUUUUUUUCCCCUGCAAGCUCCAGUUUGGGAGUUAAAGGAUUAAUAUAUAAAACCUUAGAUGCUGAGUAAUGUUUGUCAUGCCCUGGGUGCUGUAGGAAAGGAUGGUAGAAAAGAUGGGGCAAAAAGGCAGGAUCACCAUGGUGGAAAGCUCUUGGCUGCUCCUCCUUGGCUCUCCAGGACAAGGUGCAACCUGGAUUUUGGUGAUGCAGGGCUGAGAAUCAUCCAUCACUGGGACACUCUCCACCCAGGGAUGUCACUGGGGAAGCAGAGAUGCAGAGCGCUUGGCACCUCCUGCCUCUUUUUCAUCCCUUUCCUCCUUGGUUCCCUCCAAGUGAGCAGGAAGCAAGGCUGCUGACCAUGGAUCUUCCCAGCAAUGCCACUGCUGUCCUGUCCAUCCCAAGGUCAGGGUGAAGUCUGGCAUCCAUCCACGGCCGAGCCGGUGCAUCCAUGAGGUGAGAGUGGCCACCCACCAGGGAAGAGGUCGAGGGAGGGUGUGUUGGAGCUUCGUGCAAUGACGGCAGGUCUGGUGCAACAGCACGGCGGGGAGGGCGAAGGAAGGAGCCUGGCAUCAGGAGACCCCCAAAAUGGGUCCCAGUGUGCAGGACAGCUACCAGAGAGGAGACUGGGAAAAGAAGCGCCCUCCCCCUGGAAGCAGAGGGGUUUGAGCUCUCGCCUCUGACGCAGUUUUGCUCCGAGAUAUAAAUAAAAA